AUAGGAGACGCAUGUGUCGCUCGCGCUCCUGCACUGACCUGAUAUUUUUAUUUUACAUGAAGUGAAUUGCAGCCAAGCAACGUUAUUCAUCAUGACCAACCCCAUCGUCUACAUGAAUGGCGAUCAGAUCGUGCAAAUGGUGCUGAGUGCGGUGCCAUACUUGCUGCUGUGCGCGGUGUUCUGGGUGUUCAUGCGUCUGGCAUGGAGAUGUGUUACGUAUCCCAUGGAAAUGCGUAAGAUAAUACGGGAGGAAGAAGAGAGAGA
Molecule: long non-coding RNA, 264 nt
Organism: Hyalella azteca
Lineage: Eukaryota; Metazoa; Arthropoda; Malacostraca; Amphipoda; Hyalellidae
Exons: 2
Source: RefSeq, a predicted model, not a curated record